GACGAACCGUGCGAACGUUAUUCGGAAUCACUGGGCUUAAAGCGCGUGUAGGCGGGACGGCACGUCGGUCGGCUGAAAGCCCCGGCUCAACCGGGGAACGGGCGCCGAUACGACCGCCUGGAGGGACGUAGGGGACCUGGAACUUCCGGUGGAGCGGUGAAAUGCGUAGAUAUCGCUUGGAACGCCAAAGGUGAAACGAGGUUGCUGGGAAUGUGCCGACGCUGAGACACGAAAGCCAGGGGAGCAAACGGG
This 252-nucleotide ribosomal RNA is filed under the name uncultured bacterium. RNAcentral's name for it is "partial 16S ribosomal RNA". It matches the Rfam family "Bacterial small subunit ribosomal RNA", at positions 524 to 776 of the family's 1533-position model. The record is from RNAcentral.